RNAcentral lists this long non-coding RNA (297 nucleotides) under Citrus sinensis (sweet orange). Its description in RNAcentral is "long non-coding RNA (CSIN_LNC005550)". The record is from RNAcentral. Lineage: Eukaryota; Viridiplantae; Streptophyta; Magnoliopsida; Sapindales; Rutaceae.
CAGUUUUGAGACUAAUGAACCAUGAUCAGUUCGUUUCCAGCAACACAACAAAGCCAACAACACUGAUCAGACCGGAAAAAAAAAAUUCAUUCUAGCAGUUUUAGUGAAGCAUACAGCAAAUACCAAUCUAAGAAGAAGCUAAAAACGUGCAAAGAUGCACCAAUACUCAUGACCUAUUUUUGCAUCAAAGAAAAAAGAUGGCCAACUCCAGCAAUACCCACCAUCUUCAUCAAAUUCCCACAUAGCAAGUGUAACAAGCUAGGUAACUGCACAAGUAAAUAUAACAUCAUCAAAACA